UGGGGAAUAUUGCACAAUGGGGGAAACCCUGAUGCAGCGACGCCGCGUGAGUGAUGAAGUAUUUCGGUAUGUAAAACUCUAUCAGCAGGGAAGAUAAUGACGGUACCUGACUAAGAAGCACCGGCUAAAUACGUGCCAGCAGCCGCGGUAAUACGUAUGGUGCAAGCGUUAUCCGGAUUUACUGGGUGUAAAGGGUGCGUAGGUGGUAUGGCAAGUCAGAAGUGAAAGGCUGGGGCUCAACCCCGGGACUGCUUUUGAAACUGUCAAACUAGAGUACAGGAGAGGAAAGCGGAAUUCCUAGUGUAGCGGUGAAAUGCGUAGAUAUUAGGAGGAACACCAGUGGCGAAGGCGGCUUUCUGGACUGAAACUGACACUGAGGCACGAAAGCGUGGGGAGCAAACAGG
Molecule: ribosomal RNA, 404 nt
Filed under: uncultured bacterium
Lineage: Bacteria
Description: bacterial SSU rRNA
Rfam family: Bacterial small subunit ribosomal RNA
Source: RNAcentral